AAUAGAUACCCAGGUAGUCCAUGCCGUAAACGUUGGGAACUAGAUGUAGGGCCUGUUCCACGGGUUCUGUGUCGUAGCUAACGCAUUAAGUUCCCCGCCUGGGGAGUACGGCCGCAAGGCUAAAACUCAAAGGAAUUGACGGGGGCCCGCACAAGCGGCGGAGCAUGCGGAUUAAUUCGAUGCAACGCGAAGAACCUUACCAAGGCUUGACAUAUAGAAGAACACUGCAGAGAUGCAGGACUCUUUGGACACUUCUAUACAGGUGGUGCAUGGUUGUCGUCAGCUCGUGUCGUGAGAUGUUCGGUUAAGUCCGGCAACGAGCGCAACCCUCGUCCUAUGUUGCCAGCGGGUGAUGCCGGGAACUCAUGGGAUACUGCCGUGGUCAACACGGAGGAAGGUGGGGAUGACGUCAAAUCAUCAUGCCCCUUAUGUCUUGGGCUUCACGCAUGCUACAAUGGCCGGUACAAAGGGCGGCGAUACCGUAAGGUGGAGCGAAUCCCAAAAAGCCGGUCUCAGUUCAGAUUGGGGU
This 529-nucleotide ribosomal RNA is filed under the name uncultured bacterium. RNAcentral's name for it is "bacterial SSU rRNA". It matches the Rfam family "Bacterial small subunit ribosomal RNA", at positions 777 to 1304 of the family's 1533-position model. The record is from RNAcentral.